Molecule: ribosomal RNA, 418 nt
Filed under: Clostridioides difficile
Lineage: Bacteria; Bacillati; Bacillota; Clostridia; Peptostreptococcales; Peptostreptococcaceae
Description: partial 23S ribosomal RNA
Rfam family: Bacterial large subunit ribosomal RNA
Source: RNAcentral
CCGAAGAUUUCCGAAUGAGGAAACUCACUUAGAGUAAUGUCUAAGUAUCAUUAAGUGAAUACAUAGCUUAAUGAGGGGAACUCAGGGAACUGAAACAUCUAAGUACCUGAAGGAAGAGAAAGAAAUUCGAUUCCGUAAGUAGCGGCGAGCGAACGCGGAUUAGCCCAAACCAAUAAAGUUUUCUUUAUUGGGGUUGCGGACAUAUCAUAACGAAGAGGUAUCGUAAUUGAAGAGGUUUGGAAAGACCCACCACAGAAGGUAAUAGUCCUGUAUGUUAAACGAGAAGACUUUAGAUAUGAUCCAGAGUACCACGGGACACGUGAAACCCUGUGGGAAGCAGGAGGGACCACCCUCCAAGGCUAAAUACUACCUAGUGACCGAUAGCGUAUAGUACCGUGAGGGAAAGGUGAAAAGAACC